GGGGUCUUACAGAUGAUCGCUGCUGAUAGAGUUCUGCUCUGUCAGGAGAGGAAAGUCCGGGCUUCGCAGAGCAACACAGGGGGUAACGCCCCUCCGUCGUAAGGCGAGGAACAGUGGAACAGAAAGAAUGUCCGGAGCUAUGAUCUCGAGGUUGGGAACGGGAGACCUUGAGGGAGUUGCCGGAGUGAAAACAGCCAAACUCUGUGUGAAGCAAGAUCAAAUAGGGAAGCGCCAACACUCAGCUUGCUGAGGAGUUGAAAAGAACGGCUCGUUCGAGGCUUCCGGGUCAGAUCGCUCGAGCCAACAGGUAACUGUUGGCCUAGAGGAAUGGUCGUCGAAUCGCAUGAGGGAUCGUGGUAACCAAUGCGAGGAACAGAACCCGGCUUAUCGUAAGACCCCGCCA
Molecule: RNase P RNA, 403 nt
Filed under: Pseudobdellovibrio exovorus JSS
Lineage: Bacteria; Pseudomonadati; Bdellovibrionota; Bdellovibrionia; Bdellovibrionales; Pseudobdellovibrionaceae
Description: Bdellovibrio exovorus JSS Bacterial RNase P class A
Rfam family: Bacterial RNase P class A
About the family: Ribonuclease P (RNase P) is a ubiquitous endoribonuclease, found in archaea, bacteria and eukarya as well as chloroplasts and mitochondria.
Source: Rfam by way of RNAcentral